RNAcentral lists this ribosomal RNA (608 nucleotides) under Amphiprion ocellaris (clown anemonefish). RNAcentral describes it as "partial large subunit ribosomal RNA". It matches the Rfam family "Bacterial large subunit ribosomal RNA", at positions 1841 to 2635 of the family's 2925-position model. Lineage: Eukaryota; Metazoa; Chordata; Actinopteri; Pomacentridae. The record is from RNAcentral.
AUCUAUAAGAAGGUCCCGCCUGCCCAGUUGGACCACAUGUGUCUUAACGGCCGCGGUACUUUGAGCGUGCGAGGGUAGCGCAAUCACUUGUCUUUUAAAUGAAGACCUGUAUGAGUGGCACGACGAGGGCUUAAGUGUCUCCUUUUUCCAGUCAGUGAAAUUGAUCUUCCCGUGCAGAAGCGGGAAUAAUACCAUAAGACGAGAAGACCCUGUGGAGCUUCACACACUAAAUCAUCCCUUGUCCAAAAUCCCAAUUAAAGGACUGAACACUAGAGUGAGACCUGAUAUAAUGUCUUCGGUUGGGGCGACCUCGGGGAAAGAAAAAACCCCCACGCGGAGCAGAAGUACCAUACUUCCAAAACUAAGAUCUACCGCUCAAAGUAUCAGAAUUUUUGACCAACUAUGUGAUCCGGCUUAACGCCGAUCAACGGACCGAGUUACCCCAGGGAUAACACCGCAAUCCUCUUUUAGAGCCCAUAUCGACUACAGGGUUUACGACCUCGAUGUUGGAUCAGGACAUCCUAAUGGUGCAGCCGCUAUUAAGGGUUCGUUUGUUCAACGAUUAAAGUCCUACGUGAUCUGAUUUCAGAACCGGAUUUCAAACCGGA